RNAcentral lists this ribosomal RNA (589 nucleotides) under uncultured bacterium. RNAcentral describes it as "bacterial SSU rRNA". It matches the Rfam family "Bacterial small subunit ribosomal RNA", at positions 337 to 917 of the family's 1533-position model. The record is from RNAcentral.
UCCUACGGGAGGCAGCAGAGGGGAAUUUUGGACAAUGGGGGCAACCCUGAUCCAGCCAUUCCGCGUGAGUGAAGAAGGCCUUCGGGUUGUAAAGCUCUUUCGGCAGGAACGAAACGGUGAGCUCUAACAUAGCUUGCUAAUGACGGUACCUGAAGAAGAAGCACCGGCUAACUACGUGCCAGCAGCCGCGGUAAUACGUAGGGUGCGAGCGUUAAUCGGAAUUACUGGGCGUAAAGCGUGCGCAGGCGGUUGUGUAAGACAGGUGUGAAAUCCCCGGGCUUAACCUGGGAACUGCGCUUGUGACUGCACAGCUAGAGUAUGGCAGAGGGGGGUGGAAUUCCACGUGUAGCAGUGAAAUGCGUAGAGAUGUGGAGGAACACCGAUGGCGAAGGCAGCCCCCUGGGCCAAUACUGACGCUCAUGCACGAAAGCGUGGGGAGCAAACAGGAUUAGAUACCCUGGUAGUCCACGCCCUAAACGAUGUCGACUAGGUGUUCGGUGAGGAGACUCAUUGAGUACCGCAGCUAACGCGUGAAGUCGACCGCCUGGGGAGUACGGUCGCAAGAUUAAAACUCAAAUGAAUUGACGGA